Long non-coding RNA from Herpailurus yagouaroundi (jaguarundi), 722 nucleotides. RefSeq lists it as uncharacterized. The transcript has 2 exons. The record is from RefSeq and is a predicted model, not a curated record. Lineage: Eukaryota; Metazoa; Chordata; Mammalia; Carnivora; Felidae.
GCCUUGAGAGGGCGGUGUCGCCCGGGACUGGCCACCGGGCGUCUAGGGUGGCAGGGCCGCCGCCAGUUUCCAGAACAGUGAGGAGGUAGUGCGACUUUUCUGCAGUUCAGGGAGUGUCUGUUCUCACUCUAUUUUGCCGAUCGUGUCUGCCGCUGCACUGCUGGCCACAUCCUGGUUCUCUCCUCCUUUCCUGGCUGCAGUUCUUUUUUCAUCAGACAGUAUCAGAACUGUGCCCUCUGCUCUGGGCUUCUGCUGUUCCUGGACAUGCUUCCAGAUAGAGCAUGGCCAGCGAGCCUGGAGCGGCCAGUAAUGGGAGGCCUGCAAGGCACCCUUGCAAGACAGCCAGAACCAGCCUCAGGAGAAUGGAAGCAGAACUUUAUUCUUCUUGGCUAGGGAAGAGAACUAGCGGGUGGUCGUGCAUAGUACCCCCCCACCCCUCCCAGAACCAAAGAAGACAGGCGGAGCCACCAAAGGGCUACCUCUGCUCGCCUCUCUCCUUUGCCCAUGUGGAGGCAGGUGAGUGCAACGCAGGGCUGGGGUGGCUGCAGUGAUGGGGCGGCCAGGGCCGGCCGGGGCUCCAGGUCCAAGGAGACCGGGGGGGGGGGGCUGCUCAGGUUGGGGGGAUGGGCGUGGGAGCACUUCUCAUCCUGGUAGCUGCCAGCUGGCACAGGCACAGAGCUCAGGGUACCAGGACACGGUAGGGGCUGCCUGGGAUGUGCUCG